RNAcentral lists this ribosomal RNA (398 nucleotides) under bacterium enrichment culture. Its description in RNAcentral is "bacterial SSU rRNA". It matches the Rfam family "Bacterial small subunit ribosomal RNA", at positions 521 to 916 of the family's 1533-position model. The record is from RNAcentral.
UAAUACGUAGGGCGCAAGCGUUAUCCGGAAUUAUUGGGCGUAAAGAGCUCGUAGGCGGUUUGUCGCGUCUGCCGUGAAAGUCCGGGGCUCAACUCCGGAUCUGCGGUGGGUACGGGCAGACUAGAGUGAUGUAGGGGAGACUGGAAUUCCUGGUGUAGCGGUGAAAUGCGCAGAUAUCAGGAGGAACACCGAUGGCGAAGGCAGGUCUCUGGGCAUUAACUGACGCUGAGGAGCGAAAGCAUGGGGAGCGAACAGGAUUAGAUACCCUGGUAGUCCAUGCCGUAAACGUUGGGCACUAGGUGUGGGGGACAUUCCACGUUUUCCGCGCCGUAGCUAACGCAUUAAGUGCCCCGCCUGGGGAGUACGGCCGCAAGGCUAAAACUCAAAGGAAUUGACGG